This 445-nucleotide ribosomal RNA is filed under the name uncultured soil bacterium. RNAcentral's name for it is "bacterial SSU rRNA". It matches the Rfam family "Bacterial small subunit ribosomal RNA", at positions 26 to 518 of the family's 1533-position model. The record is from RNAcentral.
AGAGCGAACGCUGGCGGCAGGCCUAACACAUGCAAGUCGAACGGACCCUUCGGGGUUAGUGGCGGACGGGUGAGUAACACGUGGGAACGUGCCUUUUGGUUCGGAAUAGCUCCUGGAAACGGGUGGUAAUGCCGAAUGUGCCCUUCGGGGGAAAGAUUUAUCGCCAUUAGAGCGGCCCGCGUCUGAUUAGCUAGUUGGUGAGGUAAUGGCUCACCAAGGCGACGAUCAGUAGCUGGUCUGAGAGGAUGACCAGCCACAUUGGGACUGAGACACGGCCCAAACUCCUACGGGAGGCAGCAGUGGGGAAUCUUGCGCAAGUGGGCGAAAGCCUGACGCAGCCAUGCCGCGUGAAUGAUGAAGGUCUUAGGAUUGUAAAAUUUCGUUUCACGGGGACGAUAAUGACGGUACCGAGAACGAAGCCCGGCUAACUGUGCCAGCAGCCGAC